Molecule: ribosomal RNA, 253 nt
Filed under: uncultured bacterium
Lineage: Bacteria
Description: partial 16S ribosomal RNA
Rfam family: Bacterial small subunit ribosomal RNA
Source: RNAcentral
UACGUAGGGGGCAAGCGUUGUCCGGAUUUAUUGGGCGUAAAGAGCGUGUAGGCGGCCUGAAAGGUCAGCUGUGAAAACUCGAGGCUCAACCUCGAGACGUCGGUUGAAACCAUCUGGCUAGAGUCCGGAAGAGGAGUGUGGAAUUCCCGGUGUAGCGGUGAAAUGCGCAGAUAUCGGGAAGAACACCCGUGGCGAAGGCGGCACUCUGGGACGGUACUGACGCUGAGACGCGAAAGCCAGGGGAGCAAACGGG